Molecule: ribosomal RNA, 253 nt
Filed under: uncultured bacterium
Lineage: Bacteria
Description: partial 16S ribosomal RNA
Rfam family: Bacterial small subunit ribosomal RNA
Source: RNAcentral
UACGUAGGUGGCAAGCGUUGUCCGGAAUCAUUGGGCGUAAAGCGCGUGUAGGCGGCUUGGUAAGUCCGUUCUGAAAGCCCGGGGCUCAACCCCGGGAGGCGGAUGGAUACUGUCAAGCUUGAGUCCGGAAGAGGCGAGUGGAAUUCCCGGUGUAGCGGUGAAAUGCGCAGAUAUCGGGAGGAACACCAGUGGCGAAGGCGACUUCCUGGCCUGUUCUUGACGCUGAGGCGCGAAAGCUAGGGGAGCAAACGGG